CCUACGGGAGGCAGCAGUGGGGAAUAUUGCACAAUGGGGGAAACCCUGAUGCAGCGACGCCGCGUGAGUGAAGAAGGAAUUCGUUAUGUAAAGCUCUAUCAGCAGGGAAGAAAAUGACGGUACCUGAGUAGGAAGCCCCGGCUAAAUACGUGCCAGCGGCCGCGGUAAUACGUAGGGGGCAAGCGUUGUCCGGAUUUACUGGGUGUAAAGGGGGCGUAGACGGGGGUGCAAGUGUGGAGUGAAAGGCGGGGGCUCAACCCCCGCACUGCUCUGGAAACUGUACGGCUGGAGUGCAGGAGAGGUAAGUGGAAUUCCUAGUGUAGCGGUGAAAUGCGUAGAUAUUAGGAGGAACACCAGUGGCGAAGGCGGCUUACUGGACUGUAACUGACGUUGAGGCUCGAAAGCGUGGGGAGCAAACAGGAUUAGAUACCCGGGUAGUC
Molecule: ribosomal RNA, 440 nt
Filed under: uncultured bacterium
Lineage: Bacteria
Description: partial 16S ribosomal RNA
Rfam family: Bacterial small subunit ribosomal RNA
Source: RNAcentral